GAGAUGGGUAUACCCAAAAUACUUUACGGAAAUCAGGGGUAAUAGCAGAAACUGAUUCAAAAACCAUUAAUAUCAAAAACCCAGAUGCCUUUUGAGCUAUAAUUAACAGUUGUUGAACUUGAAGUAUACAAUGAACUACCAAUAAACAUGAAUCCAAACCCAAAACCCAAUUCGCUCAAAGCUUUAUCUUUUUCAAAGAGAACCGAAAACAACAUUACAAGC
RNAcentral lists this unclassified non-coding RNA (222 nucleotides) under Hevea brasiliensis (rubber tree). The record is from RNAcentral. Lineage: Eukaryota; Viridiplantae; Streptophyta; Magnoliopsida; Malpighiales; Euphorbiaceae.